This 492-nucleotide ribosomal RNA is filed under the name uncultured bacterium. RNAcentral describes it as "partial 16S ribosomal RNA". It matches the Rfam family "Bacterial small subunit ribosomal RNA", at positions 29 to 507 of the family's 1533-position model. The record is from RNAcentral.
AGUGAACGCUGGCGGUAGGCCUAACACAUGCAAGUCGAACGGCAGCACAGUAAGAGCUUGCUCUUACGGGUGGCGAGUGGCGGACGGGUGAGGAAUACAUCGGAAUCUACUUUUUCGUGGGGGAUAACGUAGGGAAACUUACGCUAAUACCGCAUACGACCUACGGGUGAAAGCAGGGGAUCUUCGGACCUUGCGCGAUUGAAUGAGCCGAUGUCGGAUUAGCUAGUUGGCGGGGUAAAGGCCCACCAAGGCGACGAUCCGUAGCUGGUCUGAGAGGAUGAUCAGCCACACUGGAACUGAGACACGGUCCAGACUCCUACGGGGGGCAGCAGUGGGGAAUAUUGGACAAUGGGCGCAAGCCUGAUCCAGCCAUACCGCGUGGGUGAAGAAGGCCUUCGGGUUGUAAAGCCCUUUUGUUGGGAAAGAAAAGCAGCAGGUUAAUACCCCGCUAUUCUGACGGUACCCAAAGAAUAAGCACCGGCUAACUUCGUG